UCCCUGGUGGCUCAGAUGGUAAACCAUCUGCCUACAAUGCAGGAGACCCAGGUUCAAUCCCUGGCUCGGGAA
This is a non-coding RNA of Bos taurus (domestic cattle), 72 nucleotides long. NCBI's taxonomy places the organism in Eukaryota, Metazoa, Chordata, Mammalia, Artiodactyla, Bovidae. The record is from Rfam.